RNAcentral lists this ribosomal RNA (1425 nucleotides) under Bacillus subtilis. RNAcentral's name for it is "partial 23S ribosomal RNA". It matches the Rfam family "Bacterial large subunit ribosomal RNA", at positions 322 to 1750 of the family's 2925-position model. Lineage: Bacteria; Bacillati; Bacillota; Bacilli; Caryophanales; Bacillaceae. The record is from RNAcentral.
GAACGAGGUAGAUGAAGAGGUCUGGAAAGGCCCGCCAUAGGAGGUAACAGCCCUGUAGUCAAAACUUCGUUCUCUCCUGAGUGGAUCCUGAGUACGGCGGAACACGUGAAAUUCCGUCGGAAUCCGGGAGGACCAUCUCCCAAGGCUAAAUACUCCCUAGUGACCGAUAGUGAACCAGUACCGUGAGGGAAAGGUGAAAAGCACCCCGGAAGGGGAGUGAAAGAGAUCCUGAAACCGUGUGCCUACAAGUAGUCAGAGCCCGUUAACGGGUGAUGGCGUGCCUUUUGUAGAAUGAACCGGCGAGUUACGAUCCCGUGCAAGGUUAAGCAGAAGAUGCGGAGCCGCAGCGAAAGCGAGUCUGAAUAGGGCGCAUGAGUACGUGGUCGUAGACCCGAAACCAGGUGAUCUACCCAUGUCCAGGGUGAAGUUCAGGUAACACUGAAUGGAGGCCCGAACCCACGCACGUUGAAAAGUGCGGGGAUGAGGUGUGGGUAGGGGUGAAAUGCCAAUCGAACCUGGAGAUAGCUGGUUCUCUCCGAAAUAGCUUUAGGGCUAGCCUCAAGGUAAGAGUCUUGGAGGUAGAGCACUGAUUGGACUAGGGGCCCCUACCGGGUUACCGAAUUCAGUCAAACUCCGAAUGCCAAUGACUUAUCCUUGGGAGUCAGACUGCGAGUGAUAAGAUCCGUAGUCGAAAGGGAAACAGCCCAGACCGCCAGCUAAGGUCCCAAAGUAUACGUUAAGUGGAAAAGGAUGUGGAGUUGCUUAGACAACCAGGAUGUUGGCUUAGAAGCAGCCACCAUUUAAAGAGUGCGUAAUAGCUCACUGGUCGAGUGACUCUGCGCCGAAAAUGUACCGGGGCUAAACGUAUCACCGAAGCUGCGGACUGUUCUUCGAACAGUGGUAGGAGAGCGUUCUAAGGGCUGUGAAGCCAGACCGGAAGGACUGGUGGAGCGCUUAGAAGUGAGAAUGCCGGUAUGAGUAGCGAAAGAGGGGUGAGAAUCCCCUCCACCGAAUGCCUAAGGUUUCCUGAGGAAGGCUCGUCCGCUCAGGGUUAGUCGGGACCUAAGCCGAGGCCGAAAGGCGUAGGCGAUGGACAACAGGUUGAUAUUCCUGUACCACCUCCUCACCAUUUGAGCAAUGGGGGGACGCAGGAGGAUAGGGUAAGCGCGGUAUUGGAUAUCCGCGUCCAAGCAGUUAGGCUGGGAAAUAGGCAAAUCCGUUUCCCAUAAGGCUGAGCUGUGAUGGCGAGCGAAAUAUAGUAGCGAAGUUCCUGAUUCCACACUGCCAAGAAAAGCCUCUAGCGAGGUGAGAGGUGCCCGUACCGCAAACCGACACAGGUAGGCGAGGAGAGAAUCCUAAGGUGAUCGAGAGAACUCUCGUUAAGGAACUCGGCAAAAUGACCCCGUAACUUCGGGAGAAGGGGUG